This 468-nucleotide ribosomal RNA is filed under the name uncultured bacterium. RNAcentral describes it as "partial 16S ribosomal RNA". It matches the Rfam family "Bacterial small subunit ribosomal RNA", at positions 28 to 507 of the family's 1533-position model. The record is from RNAcentral.
GACGAACGCUGGCGGCGUGCUUAACACAUGCAAGUCGAACGGAAAGGCCCUGCUUUUGUGGGGUGCUCGAGUGGCGAACGGGUGAGUAACACGUGAGUAACCUGCCCUUGACUUUGGGAUAACUUCAGGAAACUGGGGCUAAUACCGGAUAGGAGCUCCUGCUGCAUGGUGGGGGUUGGAAAGUUUCGGCGGUUGGGGAUGGACUCGCGGCUUAUCAGCUUGUUGGUGGGGUAGUGGCUUACCAAGGCUUUGACGGGUAGCCGGCCUGAGAGGGUGACCGGCCACAUUGGGACUGAGAUACGGCCCAGACUCCUACGGGAGGCAGCAGUGGGGAAUAUUGCACAAUGGGCGGAAGGCUGAUGCAGCAACGCCGCGUGCGGGAUGACGGCCUUCGGGUGGUAAACCGCUUUCGCCUGUGACGAAGCGUGAGUGACGGUAAUGUGUAAAGAAGCACCGGCUAACUACGUG